UGAAACCUUUUACCUAUACGUAGGUACUAAAUACAUAUUUGUGUUUUCCUCCCAGAGCUCCAGCUCUUCCAGAACCACAGAAGACUUGCAGCAUGGUGGUCUGAUGAGCUGCCUGAAGUGUGCGUCACAGGUGGGCCCACCAGGAGCCCCUGCAGCUGAGCAGCCCUGCAGACGCAUGACAGCAUCUGGUGAAACUUCAUUUCCACACAGGUGUUGGUGACAUGGCUGAAUCCUGCAGAAAUGAGUGAUUCCCUUGCUUCUUUCCUUUGUGGCCUUGACUACGCAGCUCCAAGAGGGAAAGAGUGGAGAAAUUGCUAUUCCAGUACUCAGAGACAUGAGUCCAGUGGUUCUAGGAGGAUUCAGGAAUCAAAGAGGGACAACACAGCAGAGAUGGAGAUGAACGCGUCUCUCAUAGCAGAAAGAGGAGAGAUGCACAAAAAGCAAGUGAGUGGAGGCUCUUAGCUUUUACUUUGCAUUUAUUAAUGGAGAUGAUGAUGAUGAUGAUGGUGAUGAUGAUGAUGAUGAUGAUGAUGAUGAUGAUGAUGAUGGUAUACAUGUGUGGGUUCGAUAUACUCAAGUUAGUUUUAGGCAAUUUACUGGGUGAAAUGGUAUAGACUAUUUCAGUAAGUGGUCAUGUGCAGAGGUUUUCAAACAUAGCUGAUUAUUUCUGCCAGUAAUACUUAAAAUAUGUAUGUUUCCUG
Molecule: long non-coding RNA, 701 nt
Filed under: Fukomys damarensis (Damara mole-rat)
Lineage: Eukaryota; Metazoa; Chordata; Mammalia; Rodentia; Bathyergidae
Description: lncRNA (ENSFDAG00000025578.1)
Source: RNAcentral